GCCGCGUGCAGGAAGAUGCCCUAUGGGUAGUAAACUGCUUUUAUACGGGAAGAAAAAGGGGCACGUGUGCCCCACUGACGGUACCGUAAGAAUAAGGACCGGCUAACUCCGUGCCAGCAGCCGCGGUAAUACGGAGGGUCCGAGCGUUAUCCGGAAUUAUUGGGUUUAAAGGGUCCGUAGGCGGGCCGAUAAGUCAGUGGUGAAAGUUUGCAGCUCAACUGUAAAAUUGCCUUUGAUACUGUCGGUCUUGAGUUAUAGUGAAGUUGCCGGAAUAUGUAGUGUAGCGGUGAAAUGCAUAGAUAUUACAUAGAACACCGAUUGCGAAGGCAGGUGACUAACUAUAUACUGACGCUGAUGGACGAAAGCGUGGGGAGCGAACAGGAUUAGAUACCCUGGUAGUCCACUGCUGCCUCCCGUAGGA
This 421-nucleotide ribosomal RNA is filed under the name Dokdonia sp. Asnod2B07. Its description in RNAcentral is "bacterial SSU rRNA". It matches the Rfam family "Bacterial small subunit ribosomal RNA", at positions 396 to 814 of the family's 1533-position model. The record is from RNAcentral. Lineage: Bacteria; Pseudomonadati; Bacteroidota; Flavobacteriia; Flavobacteriales; Flavobacteriaceae.